This 468-nucleotide ribosomal RNA is filed under the name uncultured bacterium. RNAcentral's name for it is "partial 16S ribosomal RNA". It matches the Rfam family "Bacterial small subunit ribosomal RNA", at positions 28 to 507 of the family's 1533-position model. The record is from RNAcentral.
GAUGAACGCUGGCGGCGUGCUUAACACAUGCAAGUCGAACGGAAAGGCCCAAGCUUGCUUGGGUACUCGAGUGGCGAACGGGUGAGUAACACGUGGGUGAUCUGCCCUGCACUUCGGGAUAAGCCUGGGAAACUGGGUCUAAUACCGGAUAGGACGAUGGUUUGGAUGCCAUUGUGGAAAGUUUUUUCGGUGUGGGAUGAGCUCGCGGCCUAUCAGCUUGUUGGUGGGGUAAUGGCCUACCAAGGCGUCGACGGGUAGCCGGCCUGAGAGGGUGUACGGCCACAUUGGGACUGAGAUACGGCCCAGACUACUACGGGAGGCAGCAGUGGGGAAUAUUGCACAAUGGGCGCAAGCCUGAUGCAGCGACGCCGCGUGGGGGAUGACGGCCUUCGGGUUGUAAACUCCUUUCGCUAGGGACGAAGCGUUUUUGUGACGGUACCUGGAGAAGAAGCACCGGCUAACUACGUG